GAUGAACGCUGGCGGCGUGCCUAAUACAUGCAAGUCGAGCGAACGGACGAGAAGCUUGCUUCUCUGAUGUUAGCGGCGGACGGGUGAGUAACACGUGGAUAACCUACCUAUAAGACUGGGAUAACUUCGGGAAACCGGAGCUAAUACCGGAUAAUAUUUUGAACCGCAUGGUUCAAAAGUGAAAGACGGUCUUGCUGUCACUUAUAGAUGGAUCCGCGCUGCAUUAGCUAGUUGGUAAGGUAACGGCUUACCAAGGCAACGAUGCAUAGCCGACCUGAGAGGGUGAUCGGCCACACUGGAACUGAGCCGCGGUCCAGACUCCUACGGGAGGCAGCAGUAGGGAAUCUUCCGCAAUGGGCGAAAGCCUGACGGAGCAACGCCGCGUGAGUGAUGAAGGUCUUCGGAUCGUAAAACUCUGUUAUUAGGGAAGAACAUAUGUGUAAGUAACUGUGCACAUCUUGACGGUACCUAAUCAGAAAGCCACGGCUAACUACGUG
Molecule: ribosomal RNA, 497 nt
Filed under: uncultured bacterium
Lineage: Bacteria
Description: partial 16S ribosomal RNA
Rfam family: Bacterial small subunit ribosomal RNA
Source: RNAcentral